Molecule: ribosomal RNA, 274 nt
Filed under: uncultured Pseudomonas sp.
Lineage: Bacteria; Pseudomonadati; Pseudomonadota; Gammaproteobacteria; Pseudomonadales; Pseudomonadaceae
Description: partial 16S ribosomal RNA
Rfam family: Bacterial small subunit ribosomal RNA
Source: RNAcentral
GUCCUAGUUACCAGCACGUUAUGGUGGGCACUCUAAGGAGACUGCCGGUGACAACCGGAGGAGGGUGGGGAUGACGUCAAGUCAUCAUGGCCCUUACGGCCUGGGCUACACACGUGCUACAAUGGUCGGUACAAAGGGUUGCCAAGCCGCGAGGUGGAGCUAAUCCCAUAAAACCGAUCGUAGUCCGGAUCGCAGUCUGCAACUCGACUGCGUGAAGUCGGAAUCGCUAGUAAUCGUGAAUCAGAAUGUCACGGUGAAUACGUUCCCGGGCCUU